Molecule: ribosomal RNA, 622 nt
Filed under: uncultured Rhodocyclaceae bacterium
Lineage: Bacteria; Pseudomonadati; Pseudomonadota; Betaproteobacteria; Rhodocyclales; Rhodocyclaceae
Description: bacterial SSU rRNA
Rfam family: Bacterial small subunit ribosomal RNA
Source: RNAcentral
ACGGCAGCAUGACCUAGCUUGCUAGGUUGAUGGCGAGUGGCGAACGGGUGAGUAAUGCAUCGGAACGUGCCUUUUAGUGGGGGAUAACGUAGCGAAAGUUACGCUAAUACCGCAUAUUCUCUGAGGAGGAAAGCAGGGGACCUUCGGGCCUUGCGCUAGAAGAGCGGCCGAUGUCGGAUUAGCUAGUUGGUGAGGUAAAGGCUCACCAAGGCAACGAUCCGUAGCGGGUCUGAGAGGAUGAUCCGCCACACUGGGACUGAGACACGGCCCAGACUCCUACGGGAGGCAGCAGUGGGGAAUUUUGGACAAUGGGCGCAAGCCUGAUCCAGCCAUGCCGCGUGAGUGAAGAAGGCCUUCGGGUUGUAAAGCUCUUUCGGCUGGGAAGAAAUCGCACUCUCUAAUACAGGGUGUGGAUGACGGUACCAGCAUAAGAAGCACCGGCUAACUACGUGCCAGCAGCCGCGGUAAUACGUAGGGUGCGAGCGUUAUUCGGAAUUACUGGGCGUAAAGCGUGCGCAGGCGGUUGUGUAAGACAGACGUGAAAUCCCCGGGCUCAACCUGGGAACUGCGUUUGUGACUGCACGGCUAGAGUACGGCAGAGGGGGGUGGAAUUCCACGUGUA